This 270-nucleotide small RNA is filed under the name Geobacter sp. RNAcentral's name for it is "c-di-AMP sequence". It matches the Rfam family "c-di-AMP riboswitch aptamer (ydaO/yuaA leader)". Rfam says of the family: This family represents a conserved RNA structure found upstream of the ydaO and yuaA genes in Bacillus subtilis and related genes in other bacteria. The record is from RNAcentral. Lineage: Bacteria; Pseudomonadati; Thermodesulfobacteriota; Desulfuromonadia; Geobacterales; Geobacteraceae. RNAcentral also lists the same sequence under 1 other name.
CGGAAAAUGCAGCCGAGAUCCGUUCAACGUAACGGAUGCGGGGGACCCGAGAAACAGGGGCGAAUUCCACGCACUUAUCGGAAGCGGAUGAUUUUUAGUCAGGUCAAGGAAGGCGAGUGAUGACGCGGAGGCGUACUUGCAGGUACGCCGCACAAGGAAUCGCGCAGUCUGACGCAGAGAUGGCAAAAAAGAACCGCUUCAUUGGUGCCGAAUGAGGACUUUCAGCCUCAAGCCCGUCAGCUAACCUCGUAGGCAUCUGGAAGGGCAGAA